RNAcentral lists this ribosomal RNA (406 nucleotides) under uncultured bacterium. Its description in RNAcentral is "partial 16S ribosomal RNA". It matches the Rfam family "Bacterial small subunit ribosomal RNA", at positions 30 to 526 of the family's 1533-position model. The record is from RNAcentral.
AUUGAACGCUGGCGGCAGGCCUAACACAUGCAAGUCGAACGAGUGGCGGACGGGUGAGUAAUGUCUGGGAAACUGCCCGAUGGAGGGGGAUAACUACUGGAAACGGUCGCUAAUACCGCAUCCCAUCGGAUGUGCCCAGAUGGGAUUAGCUAGUAGGUGGGGUAAAGGAUCACCUAGGCGGCGAUCCCUAGCUGGUCUGAGAGGAUGACCAGCCACACGGGAACUGAGACACGGUCCAGACUCAUACGGGAGGAAGCAGUGGGGAAUAUUGCACAAUGGGCGCAAGCCUGAUGCAGCCAUGCCGCGUGUAUGAAGAAGGCCUUCGGGUUGUAAAGGACUUUCAGUGGGGAGGCGUUACCCGCAGAAGAAGCACCGGCUAACUCCGUGCCAGCAGCCGCGGUAAUAC